RNAcentral lists this ribosomal RNA (494 nucleotides) under uncultured bacterium. Its description in RNAcentral is "partial 16S ribosomal RNA". It matches the Rfam family "Bacterial small subunit ribosomal RNA", at positions 28 to 507 of the family's 1533-position model. The record is from RNAcentral.
GACGAACGCUGGCGGCGUGCUUAACACAUGCAAGUCGAACGGUGAGGCGCCUUCCUUUUUGGUGGGUGGGUAUGAGUGGCGAGCGGGGGAGUAACACGUGAGUAACCUUCCCCGUUUUUCUGGAUAACCGCAUGAAAGUGUUGCUAAUACGGGAUAUUCUGGGCCUGUCGCUUGAUGGGUCUGGGAAAGUUAUUGUUUCGGUGGUGGAUGGGCUCGCGGUCUAUCAGCUUGUUGGUGGGGUGAUGGCCUACCAAGGCGGUGACGGGUAGCCGGCCUGGGAGGGUGGACGGUCCUGGUGGGACUGAGAGACCGGGCUGACUCCGACGGGAGGCAGCAGUGAGGAUUAUUGAAGGAUGGGAGCCAGCCUGAUGCAGCGACGCCGCGUGAGGGAGGGAUGCCGUCGGGUAAUGAACCUCUUUCGAGAGGGAAGCAGGGCUGAAUCGUCUGUGGGUGGCUUGACGGUAGCUGGAUAGAAAGCGACGGCUAACUACGUG